Molecule: ribosomal RNA, 229 nt
Filed under: uncultured bacterium
Lineage: Bacteria
Description: partial 16S ribosomal RNA
Rfam family: Bacterial small subunit ribosomal RNA
Source: RNAcentral
UGCGUAGGCGGCGGCAUAAGUCAGAAGUGAAAGUUGGCAGCUUAACUGCAAAAUUGCUUUUGAUACUGUGUUGCUUGAAUCAAGUUGAGGCUGGCGGAAUGUGGCAUGUAGCGGUGAAAUGCUUAGAUAUGCCAUAGAACACCAAUUGCGAAGGCAGCUGGCUAAGCUUGUAUUGACGCUGAGGCACGGAAGCGUGGGGAGCGAACAGGAUUAGAUACCCUGGUAGUCC